RNAcentral lists this long non-coding RNA (396 nucleotides) under Nicotiana benthamiana. RNAcentral describes it as "long non-coding RNA (NBEN_LNC002140)". Lineage: Eukaryota; Viridiplantae; Streptophyta; Magnoliopsida; Solanales; Solanaceae. The record is from RNAcentral.
UUAAGUGGAGUUUACUUGUUUGGCUUGGAAUAUUGCAACUAUUUCCUUGUGUUUCUUUUAAAUCUUGUUAGGUGUGUGAGUUUCAUUUAAUGGUUAAAGUGUUCUUUUUGACUUGAUAAGAAGUUCUGCUGGUAUUUAUGGCUUUUGCUAUUGUUCUUAAUCAGGUUUGCCAGUGUCAUGCAACUUUUGGUUUUGAAAUUGUUUUUUUUGCUGAAUGUGUGAAUUCCUUAAGCUAAUGUGUUGUAACUAAAGACAUAGUUUUGAUCGUUGCAGACCUUUUUUUUAAUGGCUUCUUAAGUGUAUACUUUAAAGCUGAGAGAUUAUCUAAUGUAGUGGAGAUUAUCUAAAUAGGUUGAAUUUACUAUAUGAUUAAAAGAAUAGGACAACCAUGGUUUG